AUACGUAGGGGGCGAGCGUUGUCCGGAAUGAUUGGGCGUAAAGGGCGCGUAGGCGGCCCGGUAAGUCUGGAGUGAAAGUCCUGUUUUUAAGAUGGGAAUUGCUUUUGAAACUGUAUCCCUUGAGUAUCGGAGAGGCAGGCGGAAUUCCUAGUGUAGCGGUGAAAUGCGUAGAUAUUAGGAGGAACACCAGUGGCGAAGGCGGCCUGCUGGACGACAACUGACGCUGAGGCGCGAAAGCGUGGGGAGCAAACAGGAUUAGAUACCCUGGUAGUCCACGCUGUAAACGAUGAAUACUAGGUGUGGGGGGACUGACCCCCUCCGUGCCGCAGUUAACACAAUAAGUAUUCCACCUGGGGAGUACGAUCGCAAGAUUGAAACUCAAAUGAAUUGACGGG
This 395-nucleotide ribosomal RNA is filed under the name uncultured bacterium. RNAcentral describes it as "partial 16S ribosomal RNA". It matches the Rfam family "Bacterial small subunit ribosomal RNA", at positions 523 to 917 of the family's 1533-position model. The record is from RNAcentral.